GUAGGGUGCAAGCGUUAAUCGGAAUUACUGGGCGUAAAGCGUGCGCAGGCGGGUUUUGUAAGUCUGUCGUGAAAGCCCCGGGGCUCAACCUGGGAAUUGCGAUGGAGACUGCAAGGCUUGAAUCUGGCAGAGGGGGGUAGAAUUCCACGUGUAGCAGUGAAAUGCGUAGAGAUGUGGAGGAACACCGAUGGCGAAGGCAGCCCCCUGGGUCAAGAUUGACGCUCAUGCACGAAAGCGUGGGGAGCAAACAGGAUUAGAUACCCUGGUAGUCCACGCCCUAAACGAUGUCUACUAGUUGUCGGGUUUUAAUUAACUUGGUAACGCAGCUAACGCGUGAAGUAGACCGCCUGGGGAGUACGGUCGCAAGAUUA
This 371-nucleotide ribosomal RNA is filed under the name uncultured organism. RNAcentral's name for it is "partial 16S ribosomal RNA". It matches the Rfam family "Bacterial small subunit ribosomal RNA", at positions 527 to 896 of the family's 1533-position model. The record is from RNAcentral.